This 460-nucleotide ribosomal RNA is filed under the name uncultured bacterium. Its description in RNAcentral is "partial 16S ribosomal RNA". It matches the Rfam family "Bacterial small subunit ribosomal RNA", at positions 338 to 795 of the family's 1533-position model. The record is from RNAcentral.
CCUACGGGCGGCAGCAGUGAGGAAUAUUGGUCAAUGGGCGUAAGCCUGAACCAGCCAAGUCGCGUGCGGGAUGAAGGUUCUAUGGGUCGUAAACCUCUUUUAUAAGGGGAUAAAGUGUGGGACGUGUCCUAUUUUGUAUGUACCUUAUGAAUAAGGAUCGGCUAACUCCGUGCCAGUAGCCGCGGUAAUACGGAGGAUCCGAGCGUUAUCCGGAUUUAUUGGGGUUAAAGGGUGCGUAGGCGGCCUUUUAAGUCAGCGGUGAAAGUCUGUGGCUCAACCAUAGAAUUGCCGUUGAAACUGGGGGGCUUGAGUAUGUUUGAGGCAGGCGGAAUGCGUGGGGUAGCGGUGAAAGGCUGAGAUAUCACGCAGAACCCCGAUGGCGAAGGCAGCCUGCCAAGCCAUGACUGACGCUGAUGCACGAAAGCGUGGGGAUCAAACAGGAUUAGAUACCCUUGUAGUC